This is a long non-coding RNA of Protopterus annectens (West African lungfish), 4482 nucleotides long. RefSeq lists it as uncharacterized. The transcript is spliced from 2 exons. The record is from RefSeq and is a predicted model, not a curated record. Lineage: Eukaryota; Metazoa; Chordata; Ceratodontiformes; Protopteridae.
CGAGCUGCAGAUUUGAGUGCCAGUGGACAGUGGACACGGCCAUUUUCAAGAAUAAAGUCUGACUCAUGAGUUGCACGAGAGAGGAUCAUUUUUUGGGGAAAGCCUGCUACCAUCUUCUCCGUUUUUCUUUAGUGCACACAACAGAGAACACGGAAGUCUGCAAGCUCUAAGCCCAGUGUCCAGAAGUCUCCAUCGAACAGUUUUGGAACUCACUGUGACACCCUGUUGUUCUAGCAUCCCCUCCAGCUGUCUUCUGGAUGCCUUGUGAUUCCUGUGGUAUUCUGUGAUCAGAAACAAAUUAUCCUGAAGAGUAGUGGACCUUCUGCGACCACAUCUGCCAGAACGUCUGAACGACAGACCUUCACAAGUAUUCAGUUUCUUCCGCAUUCGGCUGACAGCUGGCUGACUAACUCCGACCUUCUUGGCAAUUUCUGAUCCAGGAACACCUUUGAUCAGAAUCUCAACUUUUGUAUGCUUUUGUGGCGUUAAGUCAGCCUGUUUACCCAUUUUUAAGACUGUCGCUGCGUCAUUAUGACAUCAUUUUUCUUAAGUAGGUAAGUAACAUGUAGUAAUUUCUUGCAUCUUUUUCUUUUUCUUAAAGAAUUAGCAAACUGAAAUGAUUUUGCGAAUAUCUGAAAAAGCCAGACUGAAAAUCACUAAAGAAACGGGUAAGAAAUUUUCAUUAUUUGUUGAUAUUUGUAUUAAUUUGGCCAGCACUGUAGAUGGUAUAUUUUUCUCUUUCCUUUCAAUGAAAUUUUCUUUAUGCACUCCACCCUUUCCACUGAUAUUGAGUAAUUUCUAAAUGUUCAGUAGGAGUCCGAAAUUUUUUUUUUUUUUUUUGUGGUGAUUCUGUUUUGGGGUAGGUAAUAUUGGUUCUCCCUUUGUUAUGGAAUUGGCCAGGGCAAUUACCACAAUUUAGUAGGUUUUUUUUCCCAAUCCAAAUCUGUUUCAUCUUAAUUUUCUGUGUGGGUUCUGAUAUAUUUUAGGCACCUUUUUUAUAUGCUGUGCAGCAGGUACUAAAGGAGGAACUACAUUUUGUUUACUAGAAAAUCUUAUUUGGACUUUUCUAGUUGUAUACCUAAUAACAGGGCCCUCUCUGAGGUUGUAUCACAGGUGUUAAUAUAUUUCUGAGUUACUAGCCUCGGGCAUCAGUACUACUUAGAGGAAUAUUUUGUGGCCAUUUCAGUAGGAGUGUCGACGGAUGCAUUUAAUUUCUCAACAUUUUCUUUGUGAAAAUUAGAUCUUAUUGCAAACAGGUUGCUUCUUCCUAGGAUUUUAACUUUUUGCUAGGAAAAGUUAACCUCUCUAUCUGAAUCUGCAUGACUCACAUAUUCUAAGUUUAUAUAGUUGUUUGCUCUGACAAUCUAGUACAAGAUUAGUGUCAGAGUUGCAAGCUCUUUUGGAGUGUAAUUCUAUCUGCUCUGCUUCAGCAGUAGGGUAUCAAUAAGAACAAAUCUCUCAUUCGUGCCCAAGGUAAUUUCAGAGGUUGAUUGAGCCAGGCCAUCAAUUCUUCUAGAGUUCUAUUUUACUUUUCAGAACCAAGUCUUUAGAAAGGCAUACUUUCCUUGAAUUGAUGGAAAAUUGGAAAAUGGUGAAUUCUAGAAGCUUUCUAGAAAUAUGUGGUGAUCUGUAUAUACCUCUACAAGUUAUUUACAUACUGGAAUUGUAGGUUAGGCCUAAGAUUGACAUUGCUAAAACAUUCACCAGGUUUUCAUGUAUUCAUAUUCCUUCUCCCAGGUAAAAUUAAGCUGUGGUAUUCUACCUAUAAGCUACUACAGCAGUGGGAAUGGCAAACGUAUUGCCGUAGUGUAAGCUCUACUUACCUGAUAUUCGGACUCCUCAUUGCUGCAUCCAGCUAUCACCACCAUCCCCCUUCUGAUGUGUUUGGUUAGUUCAGGAUGAGUAUGCUGCUACUUAACUAGUUGGCAAGCAAGUCCUAAAGAUGUUCCACUCUGCUGAUUUGCCGUCUGCAGGUCUGGCCAGUAAGUAGUCAGAAUGGAUCAGAGGGAAGAAUCCAGGACUUUUGGAUUGCUGUGUCUUGGGCAAGACGCAACCCGUAGGCUAGUGCAGCAGUGACGAUUUGAGCACCUACUUUUAUAGGCAAGUGCAACUUGCACAGUCUGGCUUGAAAGGUACCCAAAGUGACAGUUGUGUAUCUACAUGGUCGUCACUGGAAAAGCAGAGCUUUGUAGAAUUAGAAGUUUGAGGAUGAUCACAUCCUUAAUAAAGUAUGUUUUAAAGGCAAUAGCAUCAUAAAACUUGAAAAAUAACAUACCUUUCAUCUUAUGUGGCACUUAAUAUUCCUUGCGUCUGUCACUCUGAUACUUGAGUAAUUUCUACUAUACGAUUCUCUGAUUUGCCUUGUCAUUUGCGUAAAACUGAUUUGCAUGAGCCAAGCUCAGGUAUUUGAGUUCCCAAGUUGUAGUGAGGAUUUUGCUACUGUAAGAGGAAAAAAGUUACCCCUUACAGUGAAUUGAAGUAGUAGCAGUUACAUUAGUGUAUUUUGCUAACUUUAAAUUCAAGAAAUGCAUAUGAUUGUUAUGUAGAUCUUUGUUUCUGUAUGUAUUAAGACGUGUAUGUGUAUACAUAUGUAUCACAGAAAUGGUGUGCCUAACCUGAUUUCCUGUCAAUAAUUGCAUCAUUGUGCUUAUUCUUUGUACAUGUAUGUGAUUGUAUUUGCUGGCUUGGUGAGAGUCAUGGCUGAAAAAGGUCUUUGGACCAGUCCACCUACCCUAGUAACAAAUGUUAAGUAAGUUGAUCUCUGGAAUUGUAACAAAAGAGUGCUUGAACGGACUGUGUUUUGCAUGAGUAUUACUUUGUCCUUUGCAACGGCAUCCUUUGUGGUUGUCUUUUUUACACCGUAUUUCAAGAUGCAUUUCAAUGCUAGCCUGAAGAGUAGCUUAUUUUUAUUCAGACUUUUUUUUAAAUGUCACUGGCGAUGUGACAAGUAUCUAAAACAAGCAAUGUGAUUUGUAAAAACUGACUUGUUUAGCAAAAUGGCUUCAGGCAUAUAUCAGUGAAGUUUGUUUUGUGGUCAGGCACCAGUGAUAUUACAUUAAAGGGAUGAUAGUACACUUCAUGAAAACAGAAUAUUGACAUUUGAGUGGAGAUUUCCUUUAAUGGGCUACCAAUGCAUAACUCCUUAUGCAGAUGUUUCACCCCGUGCAUUUAUAUUAUUGGAGUAGCUGUUUAUAACUUACUGGUAAAGUACAGUAGUUUGGUAAAAAGGCCUGGUGUGAUGCAUGUGGGCAUUUCAGACACUUUCUGAAUCUGUCCUUUCAAUGAAACAUUUUGUCUUGGAUGGCAUCUCCGGUAGUUCAUUUUGGGGGAUUUUUCUGCUAUUUUUCCAUAACCUGUAUUCAGCAUGGUAUGUAGUCAUUGUUGUUACAAUGCAAGAGCUCUCUGCAGGGACCAUAUCGGUUUGGGAAAAUGCAUGAUUCCAUUGUAAUCUGUACUUCAGGUUGUAGACCUUAGUUAUUAGUUGGUGCACAGUAGGUUUGCCCUCUAAUGUGAUGCAUUUGUUCUUGUUAUGCUGUUACUUAGUAUUACUUACAGGCACUAUCCACUUGCUUUGCCUAGUAUUACUUACACAGGCACUAUCUGCUGGCUUUGCCUGUCCUGCAGUAACAAAUUGGCUUCUGUUUAGCAGUGUGGGAAUUUAGUGUUCUUGUCCUUGGGGUUGCAUACUUUGGUGGUGUGCAGAUUUUCCCCCGCUCCCUUUCUACAACAUGUUGACCUGUAGAUAUUUGUUCCUUUUGUCAUUUGUAAAAUUGAUGGAUUUUGGAAACUGUUUUUCUCAUAUACUUAUUUAUUUGUAUAUUGGACAAGCACUUGUUUGGUAUGCUUCCUACCCACCUCCUGAUUUUCAAUGCCAGAUAUGUUUUUUUUUUUCCCCUCCCCCCUCCAUAUUCCUGAAAGUCAGGUACAAUAUGUCCACUGAAAACUUCACCUAAACUGUAGUCUUAUUUUGACAGACAAGUGUGUACCUGCCCCAAGACUAAGAAUUGAUGCCAUGUGUUUGUUUGUGAAGCACAUUAAAUGCUGUGGAAUUUAAACAUUGUCCUUUGUCUCUUUCAUGUGUAACUUGUUAUUUCAGAAUGUUAACAUGGUCGUACUUACAAGUUGAAUGGAGAAAUGUUGCGACAUUGGCUGGCACUCUUCAUGGAACUGUAUUGUUUAUGAUUCCUUUUGAGAGAAUGGUAUUGGGAGUCCUUCCCGAAAGUAGACUGACAUUACAUUGAAGAUUGACCCAUUUUGGAAACUAAUUUAUUGUACAUUGCACUAUGCUUGUUCACUGGAAUGUGUAUACACGUUUUUCUGUGUAAUUAGUCUGUUUACAUUUCUGUUUUUUUUUUUUUUGUUUUUUGUUUUUGUUUUGUUUAUGAAAUGUUUUGUAUUUCCCCCAGGCUGACCCUGAAAUUGGUCAGUCAGUGUACUAACCUGGUAAACAAAAAUAAAUAUGAAAGUCUUUUUUUAAUUUCA